This is a long non-coding RNA of Beta vulgaris subsp. vulgaris (sugar beet), 544 nucleotides long. RefSeq lists it as uncharacterized. Lineage: Eukaryota; Viridiplantae; Streptophyta; Magnoliopsida; Caryophyllales; Amaranthaceae. The record is from RefSeq and is a predicted model, not a curated record. The transcript has 2 exons.
AAUUCUUUCUAUGGAACAUUUUAACAUUUUGUUUCGGAAGUUUCAUCCACAGCAGUCAUCAUGGAAAUAAUACUUAUUGCAGGAGGUUGCGGAUGAGUUGAGUCUGAGGUACAAGCAAAAGAAAUUCAUGCUAGUCAGAAACCGCCUGUUGGACCCUUGGGAACACGCAUGUAUAACGGGUCUCAUAGACGACUCAGAUAACACAGAUGAUGCUUAAUUUGGUUCAACAGAAGUCAAAGACUUUGUGUACAUUCUUUAAACCAUAUGGCAUAUUAUAGUGAUCUUGUCAAUUGAUGGUUGUCUGUAAUCUCUUCUACUUUCAUAGUACUUAAUAUCAAUAGGGUGUAAUAGAAUGUGUAAUAUACGAAAUUAGGAAACUAAGAUUACAUAGCCAUAUACAGAAUAUACGAAAUUACAGAUUCUAUCAGGGUGGAUAGUUCUUGAAUGUUAUGCCAAAAUCAGUUGGCUGCUAUGCAUUUUUUGUUAAAUAGUGUUGUUAAUCUUUGCUAUGUGAAGAAUUGAUUUGUUACUAGUCAGGCUUUCA